AAAUAGAUACCCCUGGUAGUCCACGCCCUAAAACGAUGCGAACUGGAUGUUGGGUACAUUACGGUACUCAGUGUCGAAGCUAACGCGUUAAGUUCGCCGCCUGGGGAGUACGGUCGCAAGACUGAAACUCAAAGGAAUUGACGGGGGCCCGCACAAGCGGUGGAGUAUGUGGUUUAAUUCGAUGCAACGCGAAGAACCUUACCUGGCCUUGACAUCUGUCGAAUCCUGCAGAGAUGCGGGAGUGCCGCAAGGAACGACAAGACAGGUGCUGCAUGGCUGUCGUCAGCUCGUGUCGUGAGAUGUUGGGUUAAGUCCCGCAACGAGCGCAACCCUUGUCCUUAGUUGCCAGCACGUAAUGGUGGGAACUCUAAGGAGACUGCCGGUGACAAACCGGAGGAAGGUGGGGAUGACGUCAAGUCCUCAUGGCCCUUACGGCCAGGGCUACACACGUACUACAAUGGUCGGUACAGAGGGUUGCGAAGCCGCGAGGUGGAGCCAAUCCCAGAAAGCCGAUCCCAGUCCGGAUUGGAGU
RNAcentral lists this ribosomal RNA (532 nucleotides) under uncultured bacterium. RNAcentral's name for it is "bacterial SSU rRNA". It matches the Rfam family "Bacterial small subunit ribosomal RNA", at positions 776 to 1304 of the family's 1533-position model. The record is from RNAcentral.